Molecule: ribosomal RNA, 1511 nt
Filed under: metagenome
Description: bacterial SSU rRNA
Rfam family: Bacterial small subunit ribosomal RNA
Source: RNAcentral
AUGGCUCAGAUUGAACGCUGGCGGCAGGCCUAACACAUGCAAGUCGAACGGUAACAGGAAACAGCUUGCUGUUUCGCUGACGAGUGGCGGACGGGUGAGUAAUGUCUGGGAAACUGCCUGAUGGAGGGGGAUAACUACUGGAAACGGUAGCUAAUACCGCAUAACGUCGCAAGACCAAAGAGGGGGACCUUCGGGCCUCUUGCCAUCAGAUGUGCCCAGAUGGGAUUAGCUAGUAGGUGGGGUAACGGCUCACCUAGGCGACGAUCCCUAGCUGGUCUGAGAGGAUGACCAGCCACACUGGAACUGAGACACGGUCCAGACUCCUACGGGAGGCAGCAGUGGGGAAUAUUGCACAAUGGGCGCAAGCCUGAUGCAGCCAUGCCGCGUGUAUGAAGAAGGCCUUCGGGUUGUAAAGUACUUUCAGCGGGGAGGAAGGGAGUAAAGUUAAUACCUUUGCUCAUUGACGUUACCCGCAGAAGAAGCACCGGCUAACUCCGUGCCAGCAGCCGCGGUAAUACGGAGGGUGCAAGCGUUAAUCGGAAUUACUGGGCGUAAAGCGCACGCAGGCGGUUUGUUAAGUCAGAUGUGAAAUCCCCGGGCUCAACCUGGGAACUGCAUCUGAUACUGGCAAGCUUGAGUCUCGUAGAGGGGGGUAGAAUUCCAGGUGUAGCGGUGAAAUGCGUAGAGAUCUGGAGGAAUACCGGUGGCGAAGGCGGCCCCCUGGACGAAGACUGACGCUCAGGUGCGAAAGCGUGGGGAGCAAACAGGAUUAGAUACCCUGGUAGUCCACGCCGUAAACGAUGUCGACUUGGAGGUUGUGCCCUUGAGGCGUGGCUUCCGGAGCUAACGCGUUAAGUCGACCGCCUGGGGAGUACGGCCGCAAGGUUAAAACUCAAAUGAAUUGACGGGGGCCCGCACAAGCGGUGGAGCAUGUGGUUUAAUUCGAUGCAACGCGAAGAACCUUACCUGGUCUUGACAUCCACGGAAGUUUUCAGAGAUGAGAAUGUGCCUUCGGGAACCGUGAGACAGGUGCUGCAUGGCUGUCGUCAGCUCGUGUUGUGAAAUGUUGGGUUAAGUCCCGCAACGAGCGCAACCCUUAUCCUUUGUUGCCAGCGGUCCGGCCGGGAACUCAAAGGAGACUGCCAGUGAUAAACUGGAGGAAGGUGGGGAUGACGUCAAGUCAUCAUGGCCCUUACGACCAGGGCUACACACGUGCUACAAUGGCGCAUACAAAGAGAAGCGACCUCGCGAGAGCAAGCGGACCUCAUAAAGUGCGUCGUAGUCCGGAUUGGAGUCUGCAACUCGACUCCAUGAAGUCGGAAUCGCUAGUAAUCGUGGAUCAGAAUGCCACGGUGAAUACGUUCCCGGGCCUUGUACACACCGCCCGUCACACCAUGGGAGUGGGUUGCAAAAGAAGUAGGUAGCUUAACCUUCGGGAGGGCGCUUACCACUUUGUGAUUCAUGACUGGGGUGAAGUCGUAACAAGGUAACCGUAGGGGAACCUGCGGUUG